RNAcentral lists this ribosomal RNA (406 nucleotides) under uncultured bacterium. Its description in RNAcentral is "partial 16S ribosomal RNA". It matches the Rfam family "Bacterial small subunit ribosomal RNA", at positions 30 to 526 of the family's 1533-position model. The record is from RNAcentral.
AUUGAACGCUGGCGGCAGGCUUAACACAUGCAAGUCGAGCGCGCGGCGCGCGGGUGAGUACUGUCUGGGAAACUGCCUGUUAGAGGGGGAUAAAAACUGGAAAAGGUAUCUAAAACCGCGUACCAUAAGAUGUGACCACAUGGGGUUAGCUAGUAGGUGGGGUAAAGGCUCACCUAGGCGACGAUCCCUAGCUGGUCUGAGAGGAUGAUCAGCCACACUGGAACUGAGACACGGUCCAGACUCCUACGGGAGGCAGCAGUGGGGAAUAUUGCACAAUGGGCGCAAGCCUGACGCAGCCAUGCCGCGUGUGUGAAGAAGGCCUUCGGGUUGUAAAGCACUUUCGGUGGGGAGGCGUUAACCGCAGAAGAAGCACCGGCUAACUCCGUGCCAGCAGCCGCGGUAAUAC